AUCACACAUGAUGUAUGUCGCUUUGGAUUAAAGCGUCUGCUAAAUGGCUUAUA
Salmo salar (Atlantic salmon) is the source of this 53-nucleotide non-coding RNA. The record is from Rfam. Lineage: Eukaryota; Metazoa; Chordata; Actinopteri; Salmoniformes; Salmonidae.